RNAcentral lists this ribosomal RNA (125 nucleotides) under Enterococcus faecium. RNAcentral describes it as "partial 23S ribosomal RNA". It matches the Rfam family "Bacterial large subunit ribosomal RNA", at positions 2803 to 2925 of the family's 2925-position model. Lineage: Bacteria; Bacillati; Bacillota; Bacilli; Lactobacillales; Enterococcaceae. The record is from RNAcentral.
GAUGAGAUUUCCCAUUUCUUUAAGAAAGUAAGAUCCCUGAGAGAUGAUCAGGUAGAUAGGUCAGGAGUGGAAGUACAGUGAUGUAUGGAGCGGACUGAUACUAAUCGAUCGAGGACUUAACCAAU